AGCGUAGACGGAGUGGCAAGUCUGAUGUGAAAACCCGGGGCUCAACCCCGGGACUGCAUUGGAAACUGUCAAUCUAGAGUACCGGAGAGGUAAGCGGAAUUCCUAGUGUAGCGGUGAAAUGCGUAGAUAUUAGGAGGAACACCAGUGGCGAAGGCGGCUUACUGGACGGUAACUGACGUUGAGGCUCGAAAGCGUGGGGGGCAAACA
This 207-nucleotide ribosomal RNA is filed under the name uncultured bacterium. RNAcentral describes it as "partial 16S ribosomal RNA". It matches the Rfam family "Bacterial small subunit ribosomal RNA", at positions 568 to 774 of the family's 1533-position model. The record is from RNAcentral.